UGGGGAAUUUUGGACAAUGGGCGAAAGCCUGAUCCAGCAAUGCCGCGUGAGUGAAGAAGGCCUUCGGGUUGUAAAGCUCUUUUGUCAGGGAAGAAACGGUGAGGGCUAAUAUCCCUUGCUAAUGACGGUACCUGAAGAAUAAGCACCGGCUAACUACGUGCCAGCAACCGCGGUAAUACGUAGGGUGCAAGCGUUAAUCGGCAUUACUGGGCGUAAAGCGUGCGCAGGCGGUUUUGUAAGUCUGAUGUGAAAUCCCCGGGCUCAACCUGGGAAUUGCAUUGGAGACUGCAAGGCUAGAAUCUGGCAGAGGGGGGUAGAAUUCCACGUGUAGCAGUGAAAUGCGUAGAUAUGUGGAGGAACACCGAUGGCGAAGGCAGCCCCCUGGGUCAAGAUUGACGCUCAUGCACGAAAGCGUGGGGAGCAAACA
Molecule: ribosomal RNA, 427 nt
Filed under: uncultured bacterium
Lineage: Bacteria
Description: partial 16S ribosomal RNA
Rfam family: Bacterial small subunit ribosomal RNA
Source: RNAcentral